UACGUAGGGCGCGAGCGUUGUCCGGAAUUAUUGGGCGUAAAGAGCUCGUAGGCGGCCUGUUGCGUCCGCUGUGAAAUCCCGGGGCUCAACCCUGGGCGUGCAGUGGAUACGGGCAGGCUGGAGGCAGGCAGGGGAGAACGGAAUUCCGGUGUAGCGGUGGAAUGCGCAGAUAUCAGGAGGAACACCGGUGGCGAAGGCGGGUCUCUGGGCCGUUACUGACGCUGAGGAGCGAAAGCGUGGGGAGCGAACAGG
This 252-nucleotide ribosomal RNA is filed under the name uncultured bacterium. RNAcentral describes it as "partial 16S ribosomal RNA". It matches the Rfam family "Bacterial small subunit ribosomal RNA", at positions 524 to 776 of the family's 1533-position model. The record is from RNAcentral.